GACGUUCUUCGUGGGUCUCGAGCUGGUCAAGGAAAAAUUAAGAAAGAAACAUUUCUACUAAGGCCAAUAUUACCCUGUCUACUUUGCUUCUUCAUGAUGGUGGCUGGGGAUGGAGAAGAUUAAAGUUUUUGCCUUAGUGAUAUGGGAAGCAGUAAAUUGUUAUAGAGAAAAUUGUUAACUUGCUCAUAAAUGAGUGGAAUUCAAAAUAUUGUUUGAAUCUAUUGAAUUUUAGCUUAAGCCAUCAUUCAUUUUUAAUUUAUCUUCUCCAUUCUUACAUGG
This 279-nucleotide unclassified non-coding RNA is filed under the name Hevea brasiliensis (rubber tree). Lineage: Eukaryota; Viridiplantae; Streptophyta; Magnoliopsida; Malpighiales; Euphorbiaceae. The record is from RNAcentral.